GUAGGUGCAGUUUGAACUACAAACAUUUAACUGUUAAUUAAAAGAUGAAAAUGUAAUUCCUUCUACU
RNAcentral lists this transfer RNA (67 nucleotides) under Euglandina singleyana. Its description in RNAcentral is "tRNA-Asn". Lineage: Eukaryota; Metazoa; Mollusca; Gastropoda; Stylommatophora; Spiraxidae. The record is from RNAcentral.